Long non-coding RNA from Vespula pensylvanica (western yellowjacket), 606 nucleotides. RefSeq lists it as uncharacterized. NCBI's taxonomy places the organism in Eukaryota, Metazoa, Arthropoda, Insecta, Hymenoptera, Vespidae. The record is from RefSeq and is a predicted model, not a curated record. The transcript is spliced from 3 exons.
CAAGAGUAAUAUAUAACCAUCCAAUCAUCUAUAUCAUCUCAAAAAAUUUCCAUCCGCAAAUUCUGUAAGAUGUAAUUAUUAAUACAGAAAGAUGGAACUAUCUUCGCUAGUUUUUCACGGUGCGUGGAUUAUAUUCAUAUGUGUAGAUAUACACACCCAUCUAUAACUAUAUAUCGCUACAUAUUUAUAUCUAAUUAUACUUACAUAUUAGUAUGUUUAUAUGUGCAUUUAUAUAUCUGCAAUCUAAUACAAUCCCGGAAAAAAGAUAAACAAAAUUCGAUUCAUAAAAAGUAAAAUGAACGAAAGAUGGAUAUGGAAAAAGAUCGAUAGUGGAAAUCAAAAAGAUAAAAAGGAUUCAAAAGAAGAAGAAAAAAAUAAAAACAAAAGAAAAUUUCCCGUAACUUCAGUAUCGAUCCAAAAUUAUUGAUAAUUUUGUGAUGGGAUUACCGGAGAAGACAUACUCGUCAAGAUGAGAAAAAUAGUGGCGAAACUAAACAGCGUGUGCUCGAUUCAAUCUCAGUAAUUUAGAAGAGGAUUCAAGCUAUUUGACGAGAGUUUGACAAACUUAUCUUGAAUCAAGACACCAACAUGACCAGUGCUAAAAAG